This 68-nucleotide transfer RNA is filed under the name Glyptelasma annandalei. RNAcentral's name for it is "tRNA-Leu". Lineage: Eukaryota; Metazoa; Arthropoda; Thecostraca; Poecilasmatidae. The record is from RNAcentral.
GUAAAUUUGGCAGACAUAUGUAGCAGAGUUAGAAUCUGAUGAUGAAGAUUAAACUUCUUCAAUUUAUA